This 465-nucleotide ribosomal RNA is filed under the name uncultured bacterium. RNAcentral's name for it is "partial 16S ribosomal RNA". It matches the Rfam family "Bacterial small subunit ribosomal RNA", at positions 28 to 507 of the family's 1533-position model. The record is from RNAcentral.
GACGAACGCUGGCGGCGUGCUUAACACAUGCAAGUCGAACGGAAAGGCCCCUUUGGGGGUACUCGAGUGGCGAACGGGUGAGUAACACGUGAGUAACCUGCCCUUGACUUCGGGAUAACUUCAGGAAACUGGGGCUAAUACCGGAUAGGAAUCCUUGCUGCAUGGUGGGGGUUGGAAAGCUUCGGCGGUUUUGGAUGGACUCGCGGCUUAUCAACUUGUUGGUGGGGUAGUGGCUUACCAAGGCUUUGACGGGUAGCCGGCCUGAGAGGGCGACCGGCCACAUUGGGACUGAGAUACGGCCCAGACUCCUACGGGAGGCAGCAGUGGGGAAUAUUGCACAAUGGGCGGAAGCCUGAUGCAGCAACGCCGCGUGCGGGAUGACGGCCUUCGGGUUGUAAACCGCUUUCAGCAGGGGCGAAGCUUGUGGUGACGGUACCUGCAGAAGAAGCACCGGCUAACUACGUG